This is a long non-coding RNA of Aedes aegypti (yellow fever mosquito), 594 nucleotides long. RefSeq lists it as uncharacterized. The transcript has 2 exons. NCBI's taxonomy places the organism in Eukaryota, Metazoa, Arthropoda, Insecta, Diptera, Culicidae. The record is from RefSeq and is a predicted model, not a curated record.
UUAUAGUUACAAGAAUACAACCGUCACCGUCAGACGGCAACACCGUGGCACAUCCUCUCUUUCAUCGGUGGACCGUCGGUGGUGGGUGGCUCUCACCCGCAGAACUCGAAAUUUCCACAUUUGCAUGCAUUGCAUGUAGUUGCUAACCAACUAUUCAAGUUUAUAAUCAAUUUUUCAGCGACUCAAAACAACGGAAUUCCGCGGAAUACUACAUGAACGACGAAAAUUUGAUUCGCGACAAAACAGCUUAUCAAAGCUAGAGAAAAUUUUCACUUCACUGUAUUUAUAUUUGUUGGAGUAAACAUUCCUUAACAACCCCAUAGAAACGGUAGCGUGACAACAGUGUACACAAACCCGCCAGCUAGCCAACUCGUCAGCUGUCACUUCCACCUUCCCCGCAGCUAACCACACCGCGCACCCACUGACUGCUUAGAUCAGUAAACCUGUCACUAUAGAAACCUUGGCGUAACCCAAAAUAUGCUUGAAAUGUUUAAAACGUGGAAAGGAGCAUUCCAGGGGACAUAAACAUGAAAUGCGUUACUAAUGAAGCACGAUGAAAAUGGCAAAGAAAGAAGGCAAAAUCCAACUUACAUG